AAGACGUAACAAGGUUUCCGUAGGUGAACCUGCGGAAGGAUCAUUAACACGUAUGUUUUGAUUCAGAGACCUCUGGCUACGUGAGAACAUUGGAACAGUUACAAUCGAGCGGUAGUUUCAUAGGCAUUGUUUCCCCAAGCAGUCAGUGUCUGAAAGUGUCACUGUAGACCGUACACUCGGGCAGGAGCUAUGCCAAAGGGUCCCCAUGCCCCCUUAUAACCCCACAGUUUAAUGUCAAGCUCAAUGUAAUACAUUGGGUAAAAAAACCGAACAACUGUUAACAAUGGAUAUCUUGGUUCUC
Molecule: unclassified non-coding RNA, 301 nt
Filed under: fungal sp.
Lineage: Eukaryota; Fungi
Description: partial internal transcribed spacer region
Rfam family: Eukaryotic small subunit ribosomal RNA (bases 1-46)
Source: RNAcentral